UUGAUCCUUUCCCCUACACACCAAACUCCUUUUAUUAUUGAGAAAAGAUUUAUUGUGUUGUUGAAUCCUCGUGGUUGUUCUUGUUGAAGUUUGUGGUUGUGUUGGUUGAAGUUUGUGGUUGUGUUGUUGAAGUUUCUUGUUGGUUUGGUGCAUGUUCCCGGAUGGAAUUAUGAGUUGAAUCUAGUGUAUAUUGAGGGUUUUUAAUGAUUCUAAGUGAUUGGGGAAGAAACC
This 231-nucleotide long non-coding RNA is filed under the name Solanum tuberosum (potato). RNAcentral describes it as "long non-coding RNA (STUB_LNC011393)". Lineage: Eukaryota; Viridiplantae; Streptophyta; Magnoliopsida; Solanales; Solanaceae. The record is from RNAcentral.